Molecule: long non-coding RNA, 1050 nt
Organism: Trichosurus vulpecula (common brushtail)
Lineage: Eukaryota; Metazoa; Chordata; Mammalia; Diprotodontia; Phalangeridae
Exons: 4
Source: RefSeq, a predicted model, not a curated record
CAGUGAGCUGAGGCCAGUGUGGUGUUAUAUGUUUUCCUGGGGCUACACUGAAGCAAGUGGUGUUCUGGCUACUGGCUGCCUGUUUGCCCAGGGCUAUGCUGAAGCUUCUGGAGGUCUGGCCACUGCAGGUUGCCUGUUUGCCUGGGGCUAAGCUGAAGCUUAUGGUGGUUCUCAGAGAUGUAAUCUGCCCAUUCCCCUCCCUAUGCUGAGGCUUGUGGUGGGGCCUGCUGCUGGUGUUUGGCUGCUUCACUGCACUGGGGCUCUGGAUCUCCCACUGGUUUACUGAGGGUUCAUCAUGGUGGCAACAUAGGCAAUGAUGAUGGUGGCAUGGUACUUUCCUGCAAGUGGAGAUCUCAUUCUCAUCAUUCUACACAGGUGGAUUUGAAAAACAAGACAUCUUCACAAUUGAUUAUGAACCGUGGGAUACAAGACCUUACUCUGUAGCAUCGCUGAAAGCAUCUUUGGAAUGACUCCCUUAGCAGACAGCAUGGUGGAGAUCAUGAUGAUAAUUUAUACAGCAACAAUGAUGAUGAGAAAGGAGGAGCAGGAGUAAAAAGAGGAGUUGAAAGAAGAGGAGAGAGAGGAGGAAGAGGAGUAAGAGUGGGAGGAAGGAGAAGAAGAUUGAACAAAACCAGAUUGCAUUUAAAGGGCCAUGGAGUAGAUGGCAUCUAUCUUUCUCUCAGAAGUAGAGAUCUGGAGGGCUAUGGAUGACCUUCAUAUAGCACCAGAGAGCUGGAACUGCUGUGGUGAAGUGGUACUUCUAUGAUGGCUUGUUCUGGAAACCUUGCUCUUUUAGUUUGGGCCCAAGUCCACCAAGACAGUACAGAAGAUCAUUGCAACAUAUUUGAUACAACAAACUACCUAUUUAUUCUGAGCACCAUCAUCUAUUAUUUCAUAUGAAUAUUGGUUUUUGUACAUAUACACGCAUGUAUGCCUGUAGACAUAAAUGCAGAUAUGUGAAAGGUGCACACAUACCAUGUGCACAACAUGGCAAUAUAUUAAUAUGCACAUGUGAAUAUGUGCACACAUGUACACAGGCAUACAUGCACA